CAGCCGCCACGGGAAUACGGAGGGGGCUAGCGUUGUUCGGAAUUACUGGGCGUAAAGCGCACGUAGGCGGCUUUGUAAGUCAGAGGUGAAAGCCCGGGGCUCAACCCCGGAAUUGCCUUUGAGACUGCAUCGCUUGAAUCCAGGAGAGGUGAGUGGAAUUCCGAGUGUAGAGGUGAAAUUCGUAGAUAUUCGGAAGAACACCAGUGGCGAAGGCGGCUCACUGGACUGGUAUUGACGCUGAGGUGCGAAAGCGUGGGGAGCAAACAGGAUUAGAUACCCCUGUAGUCCCUGUCUCUUAUAC
Molecule: ribosomal RNA, 301 nt
Filed under: uncultured bacterium
Lineage: Bacteria
Description: partial 16S ribosomal RNA
Rfam family: Bacterial small subunit ribosomal RNA
Source: RNAcentral